UUACCAACCCGAUGCAAACUGCGAAUACCGGAGAAUGUUAUCACGGGAGACACACGGCGGGUGCUAACGUCCGUCGUGAAGAGGGAAACAACCCAGACCGCCAGCUAAGGUCCCAAAGUCAUGGUUAAGUGGGAAACGAUGUGGGAAGGCCCAGACAGCCAGGAUGUUGGCUUAGAAGCAGCCAUCAUUUAAAGAAAGCGUAAUAGCUCACUGGUCGAGUCGGCCUGCGCGGAAGAUGUAACGGGGCUAAACCAUGCACCGAAGCUGCGGCAGCGACGCUUAUGCGUUGUUGGGUAGGGGAGCGUUCUGUAAGCCUGUGAAGGUGUGCUGUGAGGCAUGCUGGAGGUAUCAGAAGUGCGAAUGCUGACAUAAGUAACGAUAAAGCGGGUGAAAAGCCCGCUCGCCGGAAGACCAAGGGUUCCUGUCCAACGUUAAUCGGGGCAGGGUGAGUCGACCCCUAAGGCGAGGCCGAAAGGCGUAGUCGAUGGGAAACAGGUUAAUAUUCCUGUACUUGGUGUUACUGCGAAGGGGGGACGGAGAAGGCUAUGUUGGCCGGGCGACGGUUGUCCCGGUUUAAGCGUGUAGGCUGGUUUUCCAGGCAAAUCCGGAAAAUCAAGGCUGAGGCGUGAUGACGAGGCACUACGGUGCUGAAGCAACAAAUGCCCUGCUUCCAGGAAAAGCCUCUAAGCAUCAGGUAACAUCAAAUCGUACCCCAAACCGACACAGGUGGUCAGGUAGAGAAUACCAAGGCGCUUGAGAGAACUCGGGUGAAGGAACUAGGCAAAAUGGUGCCGUAACUUCGGGAGAAGGCACGCUGAUAUGUAGGUGAAG
RNAcentral lists this ribosomal RNA (831 nucleotides) under Escherichia coli. RNAcentral's name for it is "partial 23S ribosomal RNA". It matches the Rfam family "Bacterial large subunit ribosomal RNA", at positions 936 to 1767 of the family's 2925-position model. The record is from RNAcentral. Lineage: Bacteria; Pseudomonadati; Pseudomonadota; Gammaproteobacteria; Enterobacterales; Enterobacteriaceae.